GAGGGAGAACAAUCCAGUCAGCGCCGGACAGAAACGCUGACUCCGCUCUCCGCGAGGCUUUCCCUGACACGAUUGACGUGACCCUAAAUCUCGACAAACCACUCGUGGCGGGGAACUCAACAACGGGGAGGGGCUGGGUGACUCACGGUGGGACCGAUGAGUCACGGUGAGGCAUCCGGCUUUCUUCGCGCAUUCCCGACUGGCAGUGUUCAUUCAUAAAAAUAAGUUGCGGCGUAGCUACGACUCAUUGCUCCUCGUGACUAAUGCGAUCCAGACGUCGCUCCGAAAAUAUACACACACACACACAACGACUCGUGCGAGUAUCGCACUUUUACUACAAAACCGCAAUCCUCCUCGUCGGAACAGCAUGUCAACUUGUACACAGACGCCGCUAACAGAAAUGCUAGAGUGGUGGUUUGGUUUAUCUUAAAGGUCAAGUGUCAUCCCUAUAAACAUUCUAAAAUAGAUAUUGUAAUGAAAAAUACAUAUAACAUUAUUCACUUCAAUGUCCGUACGAAAAAAUAAUUAUGUGCAGACAGCGCCUCAUCCACGCGUAAAGUUGCGGAAGUGAUCACCAAACUGGCUGCAUCUCCUGUCCGUGACAUCACCAAGGACAUUCGCCAUUGAAAACUACUGUGGGAGACAAACACGCCCCUUCUGACACGGAAGAGAACAUCACACAAGUGGCAGCAGAAUCUCUGCAAAGCGGUAUGGACAAGGGGCACUGGGUUCAUUGGCUAUUAUCUGCAGGCCAAAUGGAACCGCACAGAGGGCACUCCAGUUCGCUGGCCACCUGGACCAAGGGCUCAGAGACAGCUGGUGGAAGCGAGCGCGGACGGGGCGCUGCCAUUUUCGCGAGUCACGUGACCUACGUGCGCGGAUGUGACGUGUACCGUGUCGCAACAAUGGCUCGAUUCCAUUUGUGCCCGGCGCCGACUUCUAGGAUUUAUCCUCAUCUGAUGAAGAAAUAGAAAUAUCAGUUGAUUGGGAAGACGGAGAAAUACUUCCAUACGGAUUUGAACCAGUGGCUGGAAUUAAUGUUGAAUAUUCGGAUGGUUCUUCGGGCGGAAUGACGAGCCAGGCCGCGAGCCGAGCUUCGGCGUCCGGGGCUAACGGCCUCCGCCGCCUGGUAGCUCGGCUCGCUGCCCGCCGCCGCAGCUCUCUCGUCAGACUCCGCCGAUCCCCUGCCAACGUUGUUGAACGCACCUGUGCAUUUUAUUUAUUUUUAAGAAUGGAGCAAACUGCUGCUUUGGCCAAUACAAAUUUCUGUAUCACACAUUUGUAACGUCGUUCUUUCCCAGCUUAAUGGUGAUAUUAUUCACGAUCAUUUCGAGCCUGAACUUCAUUGCGGUAGUUUCCUCAAAAUAAAUGCCAACUUGGCGGCACGGUGGCGCAUCUGGUUGGCCGGGGUUCAAAUCCUGCCUCCGCCCUGUGUGGAGUUUGCAUGUUCUUCCCGUGCUUGUGUGGGUUUUCUUCAGGCACUCCGGUUUCCUCACACAUCCCAAAAACAUGCAACAUUAAUUGGACACUCUAAAUUGCCCGUAGGUGUGACUGUGAGUACAACUGUUUGUCUCUGGCUGGCAACCGGUUCAGGGUGUAGCCGGCCUCCUGUCCAAUGACUGCUGGAUAGGCUCCAGCACUCCCAAGACCCUCGUGAGGAUGAGCGGCUAAGAAAAUGAAUGGAUGGAUGGAUGGAUGAUAAAUGCCAACCUAAAACUGGGUACCAUCGCUCGACUUUUAUCUUACGUAAUAUGUAUUGAGGCGGCACGGUGGAACAGCUGGUAAAGCGUUGGCCUCACAGUUCUGAUGACCCGAGUUCGAUCCCGGGCCCGACUGUGUGGAGUUUGCAUGUUCUCCCAUGCCUUCAUGGGUUUUCUCCGGGAACUCCG
Syngnathoides biaculeatus (alligator pipefish) is the source of this 1889-nucleotide long non-coding RNA. RefSeq lists it as uncharacterized. Lineage: Eukaryota; Metazoa; Chordata; Actinopteri; Syngnathiformes; Syngnathidae. The record is from RefSeq and is a predicted model, not a curated record. The transcript is spliced from 3 exons.